GUAAACAUCCCCAAUAGAUUAUUUCGGUCCCGGAACACCCGCUCCCACUGCAAGGCUCUCCUUUCUUCCUGCUCCAUCAAUUGGCGGUACAUGAUAGCAUUCAUUUUUGAGGUAAGACACUGAAGUUUUGUUGACUAAAAUAAGAUUAGCCUCCUCUGUACCAGGCUAAAAACUUUAUUAGCUAGCGAAGCGCU
Thalassophryne amazonica is the source of this 194-nucleotide long non-coding RNA. RefSeq lists it as uncharacterized. The record is from RefSeq and is a predicted model, not a curated record. The transcript has 3 exons. NCBI's taxonomy places the organism in Eukaryota, Metazoa, Chordata, Actinopteri, Batrachoidiformes, Batrachoididae.